This 1117-nucleotide long non-coding RNA is filed under the name Suricata suricatta (meerkat). Its description in RNAcentral is "lncRNA (ENSSSUG00005003255.1)". Lineage: Eukaryota; Metazoa; Chordata; Mammalia; Carnivora; Herpestidae. The record is from RNAcentral.
UAGGUUCAUUAGUGCCUGCUGCCGGCUGGGUGGGAGGGGGGCCAGCGCCCUCAGCGCAGCCCCCCGGGGACCUGCGGCCUCCGUCCAUCAGGGCAGACGGGAGCAGAGAUCUCAUCGGGGAACACAAAUAGUCCCCGAGGCGUCCCGUUUCAUCUCUUCAGGGUUUUAACGGGGCGCUGCUGCCGGGAACUGAGGUUUCCGAGCCGCUCACCACCACGUGCUAACUGACACUCUCCACCCGCUAAGGAUGCUCUCUCCUUUAUUUUUUAUUUUUAUUUUUUUGAAGGAGUCUGCUCUUCUCUCUGUUCUGUGAAUGACCCCCAGGUUCCGAGGCCCCUCAGACUACAAGCCAGCCAGGCUCCAGGGACCCUUCCCACCUCGAGCCCACCAGAACCGACCCCUGGGAUCCUCCCUUCUUGCCUGGCCCACCCUCGUGGCGGCCGACCCCCAGCCCCAAACACGGGGCCCCGGCCAGGCGGGCUCCGGUCCAGGUCCCCCACCAGUCCAGAAUCCUCAGAACCUGCCGGGAAGGGAGAAGACGCAGACUUGGCACGGUUUUGGAGGUACUCGGUGAGAUUGUGAAGACCUGCCCAGCGCGAGGGCCUCACGCCUGUCCUGGGGGCGCCUCCUGUACAAGCUCAGGGGCACAGCGCCCUCCAGAAGCCACCGAUGUCACCACACGUCCUGCCUGCGUCUGGCCUUGGCAUGGGGACCUGUGUCCAGGGCAGAGACCCCAGCCAGUCUCCUGCUCAGAUAGGCAGAGCUGUCACCUCCAAAGGACACUCGCGGCCGCUGUCCUAGUGUGCGGGUGGCCCCGCUCCCACUCAGGGGGGGCUCGGAGUUUCCUGCUGGGGGGCUGGGGGAGGGGCAGCGGCACCCGGGUACCGCUUCCUUCCUGAGGCGCCGUCCAUCGGCCUCACGGCUGUGGAAGGGUGCCCGUGUACGGGCCCGAGAGAAGCCUGGGGCCAAGUCUGGGACCCUGCACCCCGUGGGCCCCCAGGCCUCCCUGCCGUCGGGGGCUCCGGCCAGCCCACCCUCUGCCCUGGCGCCCCACAAAGCCCUUGAGUGGACCAGGCCCAAGCCCUGUAGGAGCCUCCGGGGCCGGGACCCGCACCAG